Bombus pyrosoma is the source of this 1691-nucleotide long non-coding RNA. RefSeq lists it as uncharacterized. The transcript has 3 exons. The record is from RefSeq and is a predicted model, not a curated record. Lineage: Eukaryota; Metazoa; Arthropoda; Insecta; Hymenoptera; Apidae.
CAGUUAUCCACGAAUUAUCAGCGAUCUAAUUAACGAAUCAUUAGCGAUCCUAUUUUUAAGACUUAUACACUGUUUUAUCGAAUCGAAGUUAAGGAGAAAUUCAUCGCUACUGUUGAUCCUCGUAUAUACGAUCCUUCAUUUGAAAGAGCUUGCUUGAUAUAAAAUUCAAGUAUUGUACCUGUAUUAUAUUUGAAUUAUCUAAGCCGUGUCUGUGGAUUCUUCGAGUCAUUCAAAUAUAGAGAACGCAAGAAAGGAAAACAUCGUGAAGACGUUCAAGAAGUAGAAUAAGACGGUCUAACGCGGGCAAAAAGAAAAUGGAAGAUCAACGUUUUCUAUCAACGAUGAAGAAUCGAAAAAGGAGGAAAAAUGUAUUGAAAAGAGUGGAGCGAAAAGUGGAAGAAAGUUUCCUAUCGACGAUAAAGGAUUUAAAUAAAAAAGCCAAAGACAUAAAUGUAUAUUAGAACGAGUGUAUAAAAUUUGGAUCGAGGAGGGAGGAGGAAGUGACGAGGUGGAGGAGAAGCGCAUCAGAAGAGAGAGGAGAGACAGGUAGCGCGUGGCAGCAGGCCUCUCCCCCUGUCGACCCUCUCCUCCUCUGGUAACUAAUGCCUCGAUCCGUGCAACCACCUCCGCCAGUCGAGGCCUUAACUACUUUCUUAUUCGCUCGUUUCAGGCCAGCCUUACGGGCCCGUGCAUAAUGCCACAGCGCUCCUUACGCAUGCUGAACGACGAACACGCUCCUUCCUCCGCUUCUCCUCCCGCGCCAUCUUUCCCCAUCGUCCUUCUCCUCCACCUCUUCAUCGCGAUGCUCGUCCACCUCCGCCUCCCCGGAACACUGUACCUCAGAGAGGAACUGCGGGUCAGAGACUGCGAGGCAUAUUCGACGCAGACUCGUGGCUCGUGCCUAGAUCCAUUGGCGUCUGACUCUACUGAAUUCUGCUCACCGGAAUAUUCUACUUUGGAAAGACAGCUUAUUACAUUUAUAUUAACGAAACAUUGGAUUCUGGGAAUUUUUAAAUAUUUAAUAAUAAUGCUUUUACAUAACUAACUCGAGCUGUUAUAUAAAAAUAGUUUUAUGUAAAGAUACUUGAAUUGUUAUUGGUAUUAGGUUAUUAGAAGCAAUAAAUAUUAGACGUUUUUACGUAAAUAUGUUUCCGUACGACAGCUCAACUUAGUUAUCUAAUCUAGAAGUAGAAUAGACUAUCCUACCGGAUAAAGUAGGAUAUGUCAAAUAGAAUUCUGUAGAAUUAGACGCUAUUAGACUGUAACGUAUAAAAUGUCUGACUACGAUCUAACGUUAACGAGAUUUGAUCGAGUUGAUUAGUUUGGUUUCUAAAAGGGUUCUAUAUACACCUAAUUCAUUGAUAUACUAUUUCGCAAAGAAUAUCCCAUAUGAACGAAUAUUAUAAAUUAUCGCGCCGGAAUUAUAAAGACGUCCUAAAGAAUAUCAGACACGUAUACGAGUAAAUAUAUAAUAAAAUAUUACCCAUCUACUAUCAACACAGAACCUUAAUUAAAGACUCACAGCUUCGUAGAAAACAUUCAACCAUUUCCAACUAUCCCCAGAAAAUGAAAAAUCUUCGAUCUUGCACAACUAAACUAAAGAAGAGAGGAGCAAGAACUAUUUCAAAAACUAUAGAGAAGAAGAAUGAGAAAGAACUUGGUGAACUGGAUGGAAGAAGAUGAUUCGAGGA